This 109-nucleotide small nucleolar RNA is filed under the name Phaseolus vulgaris (common bean). RNAcentral describes it as "snoRNA Plant_U3". Lineage: Eukaryota; Viridiplantae; Streptophyta; Magnoliopsida; Fabales; Fabaceae. The record is from RNAcentral.
AUGACCUUACUUGAACAGGAUCUGUUCUAUAGACAGGAACUGAAGUCUGGUGGAUGAACCAUGACCCUGUGAUCAGAGCGUGAUUAAUGGGAUGGUUGUCUGACAGACU